AGUCAUAUGCUUGUCUCAAAGACUAAGCCAUGCAUGUCUAAGUAUAAGUGUUAUACAGCGAAACUGCGAAUGGCUCAUUAAAACAGUUAUAGUUUAUUUGAUAAUCGAAUUUACAUGGAUAACCGUGGUAAUUCUAGAGCUAAUACAUGCUGGUAGGCCCGACUUUUGCGGAAGGGCGGUAUUUAUUAGAUAACAAGCCAAUAUUCCUCUGGUCUAUUGUGGUGACUCAUAAUAACUGAUCGAAUCGCAAGGCCUUUGGCCGCGAUAAGUCAUUCAAGUUUCUGCCCCAUCAGCUUUCGAUGGUAGUGUAUUGGACUACCAUGGCGUUUACGGGUAACGGAGGAUUAGGGUUCGAUUCCGGAGAGGGAGCCUGAGAAACGGCUACCACAUCUAAGGAAGGCAGCAGGCGCGUAAAUUACCCAAUCCUGACUCAGGGAGGUAGUGACAAGAAAUAACGGACCGAGGCCUUCGGGCUUCGGGAUUGGAAUGAGCCGAAUUUACACCCCUUAGCGAAGAUCGAU
RNAcentral lists this ribosomal RNA (521 nucleotides) under uncultured eukaryote. RNAcentral describes it as "SSU rRNA". It matches the Rfam family "Eukaryotic small subunit ribosomal RNA", at positions 22 to 548 of the family's 1831-position model. The record is from RNAcentral.